RNAcentral lists this small RNA (545 nucleotides) under Pan troglodytes (chimpanzee). RNAcentral's name for it is "retained intron". The record is from RNAcentral. Lineage: Eukaryota; Metazoa; Chordata; Mammalia; Primates; Hominidae.
UCCUCUUGGGUCUGGGGUCUGUCCCUCUUGGCCUCACUCCCCCAGGGAGCGAGCAAAGAGUUCCGGGGUGGCCUGGCCCGUGGUGUGACGGGGCCGUGCCCCCCAGGGGGCGUGAAGGCCUGCUCGCUCACGUGCCUAGCGGAAGGCUUCAACUUCUACACGGAGAGGGCGGCAGCCGUGGUGGACGGGACACCCUGCCGUCCAGACACGGUGGACAUUUGCGUCAGUGGCGAAUGCAAGCACGUGGGCUGCGACCGAGUCCUGGGCUCCGACCUGCGGGAGGACAAGUGCCGAGUGUGUGGCGGUGACGGCAGUGCCUGCGAGACAAUCGAGGGCGUCUUCAGCCCAGCCUCACCUGGGGCAGGGUACGAGGAUGUCGUCUGGAUUCCCAAAGGCUCCGUCCACAUCUUCAUCCAGGAUCUGAACCUCUCUCUCAGUCACUUGGCCCUGAAGGGAGACCAGGAGUCCCUGCUGCUGGAGGGGCUGCCCGGGACCCCCCAGCCCCACCGUCUGCCUCUAGCUGGGACCACCUUUCAGCUGCGACA